CAUAGCUGGCCAGCAGGGGGCGAUGUGUGCUUUCUGGACACUACAUGACUGAAUACGUCUGUCACCCAGACAUGAAGGUGAGGAGUAUGAUGCAUGUCAUCCCGCCUCUGACCUCUGACCUCUGCACAUUCUCUCCAUACAGUGAGGUCACAUGACCCCCAGCCUGCUUUUUAUCCACCGCUACAUGAAAUGAGAGCAGUUAGAAUGGAUGGAUGAUUUUAUCAACCUAUAAUUUAAAACCGGCUUCUAAACAAAGGAAGAGAUCUUGAGUUGUCCCUCUCAUCCUUAAGUGUCAGCCGGGCAGUUUCAAGUGUGGGCAGAAGAACAAGAAGAACUGAAAGGAUCCCAGCAAGUGAAAGUCAGCGGACCACUCGGCAUCAUUUCAGACGUUCAGCAUCGUAAUGUGUGGACAUACUCAGGUCAGAUCAGCGCUUCCAGCAGGGUAAGUGCUCUGCGGCACCUUUUAGCAGUCACGUGAUUUACAAGAACAGCUCUGGAAACCUACCCCGCCCCGUGCUGCUGGUCCACUGCUCAUCCAGACUUUACCCUGCAAGGACCCAAAGCCGGAGCGAUGCGCGCUGUGACAUCUGCGGCGCUCCUCGGCGUCCUGCUGGGCGUCUGUCUGCCGGCGGCCGCUGACGAUGCAGCAGCACCAAGCGGACCUGCUGUCACCUCCACCUCAGCACCACCCAGCACUGAUGCAGCAGCACCAAGCGGACCUGCUGUCACCUCCACCUCAGCACCACCCAGCACUGAUGCAGCAGCACCAAGCGGACCUGCUGUCACCUCCACCUCAGCACCACCCAGCACUGAUGCAGCAGCACCAAGCGGACCUGCUGUCACCUCCACCUCAGCACCACCCAGCACUGAUGCAGCAGCACCAAGGGGACCUGCUGUCACCUCCACCUCAGCACCACCCAGCACUGAUGCAGCAGCACCAAGGGGACCUGCUGUCACCUCCACCUCAGCAGCACCACCCAGCACUGAUCCAGCAGCAUCAAGUGGACCUGCUGUUGCUCCAGUAGUGGAAGGUGGAGCUGGCGGUCAUGUACAUUAUCUUGGCAAAACGACCCAAAAUGACCUGAUAGAGUCCAUCAGUUCUAAAAUAAUCCAACAUGUUGUGACAUUUCUCCAUCACCUCAGACUGCACCCUGACCUGAGUCUGAAGGAGCAGCUCUCUGUCAGGGUGGUGUCACAGGAAGACAUUCCUCAGGUAUCGCAGCAUCUCUUGGAGCAGUCCACAGGAGGACACUUGUCAUCUCUGUGAUGCACAUCAGAAUCAC
Parambassis ranga (Indian glassy fish) is the source of this 1283-nucleotide long non-coding RNA. The record is from Ensembl. NCBI's taxonomy places the organism in Eukaryota, Metazoa, Chordata, Actinopteri, Ambassidae.